GACAGAGGGUGCAAACGUUGUUCGGAAUUACUGGGCGUAAAGCGCGUGUAGGCGGCUAAGUAAGUCGGGCGUGAAAUCCCACGGCUCAACCGUGGAAGUGCACUCGAAACUGCGUAGCUAGAGUCCUGGAGAGGAAGGUGGAAUGCUUGGUGUAGAGGUGAAAUUCGUAGAUAUCAAGCGGAACACCGGUGGCGAAGGCGGCCUUCUGGACAGUGACUGACGCUGAGGCACGAAAGCGUGGGUAGCAAACAGG
RNAcentral lists this ribosomal RNA (253 nucleotides) under uncultured bacterium. Its description in RNAcentral is "partial 16S ribosomal RNA". It matches the Rfam family "Bacterial small subunit ribosomal RNA", at positions 524 to 776 of the family's 1533-position model. The record is from RNAcentral.